GACGAACGCUGGCGGCGUGCUUAACACAUGCAAGUCGAACGGAAAGGCCCUGCUUUUGUGGGGUGCUCGAGUGGCGAACGGGUGUGUAACCCGUGAGUAUCCUGCCCUUGACUUUGGGAUAUCUUCAGGCAACUGGGGCUAAUACCGGAUAGGAGCUCCUGCUGCUUGGUGGGGGUUGGAACGUUUCGGCGGUUGUGGAUGGACUCGCGGCUUAUCAGCUUGUUGGUGGGGUAGUGGCUUACCAAGGCUUUGACGGGUAGCCGGCCUGAGAGGGGGACCGGCCACAUGGGGACUGAGAUACGGCCCAGACGCCUACGGGAGGCAGCAGUGGGGAAUAUGGCACAAUGGUGGGAAGCCUGAUGAAGCAACGCCGCGUGCGGGAUGACGGCCUUCGGGUGGUAAACCGCAGUCGCCUGUGACGAAGCGGGAGUGACGGUAAUGGGUAAAGAAGCACCGGCUAACUACGUG
Molecule: ribosomal RNA, 468 nt
Filed under: uncultured bacterium
Lineage: Bacteria
Description: partial 16S ribosomal RNA
Rfam family: Bacterial small subunit ribosomal RNA
Source: RNAcentral